AUAGCUCCCCGCCUGGCCUUUGGGCCUUUGCCGGGAUCUCGGGGUCUAUAUAAGUGCACGGGGGACCCGCCGCCCGAAAGCCUGGGUCCUAACGCCGGCGAGAGGGUUAGGGUUUUACGAGGGGCAGAAUUCGUUGACGUUACAGGGAGAAGAACAGAUCCUUCCUAACUUCCUCGACUUCUCCAUCUCAUGGAGAUCUGAUCACCAAUAGAUAGCAAUGGCGAUCUCGAAUCUGUUUUUCUUCCUUCUGAUCGCGCUCUUCGCCUCCUCAACAGCUGCCGAUGCGAUCCAUGGCUGUGGCGGGUUCGUCGAGGCGAGCUCGUCUUUGAUCAAAUCAAGAAAGGCUUCUGAUACGAAGUUGGAUUACUCAGACAUCACGGUUGAGCUUUGCACAGUUGAUGGGUUGGUCAAGGACAGGACUCAAUGUGCUCCAAAUGGUUACUACUUUAUCCCAGUUUAUGAUAAGGGUUCAUUUAUUGUCAGAGUGAAGGGGCCUGAUGGGUGGUCAUUUGAACCUGAUACUGUUCCUGUUAUUAUUGACCAAAACGGCUGUAACGCAAAUGCAGAUAUCAAUUUUCGGUUUACAGGAUUCAUGAUAUCAGGAAGGGUUAAGGGUGCUGUUGGUGGUGAGAGUUGUUCCUUAAAGGAUGGAGGACCUUCUGGUGUAGCAGUUGAGCUAUUGUCACCAUCAGAUGAUGUCAUUGCAUCUGUUCUGACAUCAGCAACAGGGGAUUAUUCUUUGACAAACAUCAUUCCAGGAAAAUACAAGUUACAUGCUUCACACCCAAAUUUAGAAAUUGAAGUUAGAGGUUCACCAGAGGUCAAUCUGGGCUUCGGAAAUAUUAUGGUGGAUGAUAUCUUCUUUGUAUCGGGGUACGAUCUUCAUGGAUUUGUAGUUGCACAGGGAAAUCCAAUUUUAGGAGUUCAUGUAUAUUUAUAUUCAGAUGACGUGUUAACGGUGCAUUGUCCCCAAGGAGUUGGUACUGCCCCAAGGGAAAAAAUUGCACUUUGCCAUGCCAUUUCUGAUGCGGAUGGGAAGUUUACAUUUAGAUCGAUACCUUGUGGGGUAUAUGAGCUUCUACCUUACUACAAGGGGGAGAACACGAUUUUCGAUGUUUCACCAUCUUCAAUGAGUGUAUCUAUUGAGCAUCAUCAUGUAACAAUCCCCCAAAAGUUUCAGGUCACUGGAUUUUCUGUUGGAGGCCGUGUUGUUGAUGGUUAUGGUGCUGGAGUGGAUAAUGCAACAGUUAUAGUGGAUGGGCAGUUGAGGGCUAUUACAGAUGGUCAAGGGUACUACAUGCUUGAUCAAGUUACAUCAAAGCAUUACUCCAUAGGGGCAGAGAAGGCCCACUACAAGUUUAACACACUGGAGAAUUUCUUGGUCAUGCCAAACAUGGUUUCCAUUGAUAACAUAGAAGCUGUCUACUAUGAUAUCUGUGGUGUUGUUCACAUGAUCGCUGCAACUUCAAAGGCUAUGGUGAUGCUGACACAUGGGCCUGAUAAUGUCAAGCCUCAAAAGAAACUAGUAGACGAGAAUGGAAAUUUCUGUUUUGAGGUUCCAGCUGGUGAUUACCGGUUAUCUGCUCUUGGAGUAGAUUCUGCUAGUACUUCUGGCCUAAUGUUUUCACCACCAUAUGUUGAUGUCAAGGUUAACCGCCCAGUGCUUAAUGUAGAGUUUUUUCAGGCACUAGUUGAUAUUCAUGGUACUGUACUCUGCAAGGAGAACUGCAACCAGAAUGUUUCUGUUUCUCUUGUAAGAUUAGUGGAUGCAGGCAUGCAGGAAAGAAGGAUAAUUGCCUUGACUCAUGAGAGUGGUGAUUUUAUGUUUCGAAAAGUCCUUCCUGGAAGAUAUCGACUUGAGGUGAAACAUAUUUCAUCAUCAGCAAUGCCGGAGGAGGAUAAUUGGUGCUGGGAUCGAAGUGCUAUUGACUUGGAUGUGGGUGCUGAGGAUGUAACUGGAAUUGUCUUUGUCCAGAAAGGCUACUGGAUCAGCAUAGUUUCAACUCAUGAUACAGAUGCCUACAUUCAGCAAUCUGAUUCUUCUCGUGUUGAUUUGUCGAUAAGGAGAGGGUCACAAAAAAUAUGCGUGGAGUCUCCUGGGCAGCAUGAACUUCAUUUCGUGAACCCAUGCAUAUUCUUUGGAAGCUCAUCAUUGACAUUUAAUACCUUGAAUCCAGUGCCUAUAUAUCUUACUGGAAAGAAGUACCUCCUUAAAGGAGAAGUUCACAUGGACCUGGCCUUAAAUCAAGAUGCAGUUGACUUAUCUGAGCACAUAGUUGUUGACAUGUUUAAUAGAGAUGGAGUUUUUCUUGAUACCAUCUCUACUAAAUUUGCUCCUGAUAUAAAUGACCAAAGGGCUGUUGCUGUAUAUGAAUACUCAAUCUGGUCAGAUCUUGGAGAGGAAUUCAUCUUCGUUCCUCGGGACUCAAGAACUAGCACGGUAAAGAAGAUCCUUUUCUACCCAAGACAGCGUCUGGUGUCAGCUACCAUUGAUGGAUGCCAAGCUCCUAUUCCCCCAGUUGUGGGUCAGGUUGGGCUAUACCUUGAAGGAUCAGUGUCCCCCGCUCUAUCUGGUGUUAAUAUACGAAUUCUAGCAGUAGGGGAGAGCAGCUAUGCUCCUUUACAGAAAGGGGAUUUGGCUUUUGAAACAGAGACAGGACCAGAUGGUUCUUUUACUGCUGGUCCGUUAUAUGGUGAUACAACUUACAACAUUGAAGCCUCGAAGCCUGGUUAUCAUGUUAGAAAAGUGGGAAGCAAUUCUUUUACCUGUCAAAAACUCGGUCAGAUUGUUGUUAAUAUUUAUGAUGGAGCAGAAGCUGGAGAGUUGCUUCCUUCAGUUCUGUUAUCAUUAAGUGGCGAGGAUGGUUACAGGAACAACUCAGUUAGCAGUGCUGGUGGAACUUUUGUCUUUGAUAACUUAUUCCCUGGAAGUUUCUAUUUGCGUCCACUGCUGAAGGAGUAUGCAUUUUCUCCGUCUGCAGUGGCAAUAGAAUUGGAUUCUGGAGAGUCUAAAGUGAUUGAUUUUUAUGCAACACGUGUUGCUUACAGUGCUAUGGGCAGUGUUUCGUUACUUGCUGGUCAGCCAAAGGAAGGUGUUAAUGUUGAAGCACGAUCGGAAUCCAAAGGCUACUAUGAGGAAGCAACAACUGAUAGUCUUGGAAAUUUUCGUCUUAGGGGACUCCUCCCAGAUACAACUUAUUUAGUAAAAGUAGUGGCGAAGGACUACCUUGGAGUCACGGCGGUUGAACGAGCUUCUCCUGAUUCUGUUGUUAUAGAGGUGGGAUCUGAGGAUAUCAGAGGCUUGGAUUUUGUAGUGUUUGAACAACCAGAGAGAACCAUUUUAAGUGGUCAUGUGGAAGGAAGUGAUCUCGAAGUAUUACAGCCACAUCUCUCUGUGGAAGUCAGAUUGGUUGCUGUUCCAUCUAAAAUUGAGACAGUCUUUCCUCUGCCACUCUCGUACUUCUUCCAAAUACAUGAUUUGCCCAAGGGCAAGCACCUUGUGCAGCUUCGGUCAGGGCUACCAUCAAGCACUCACAAGUUUGAAUCUGAUAUAUUAGAAGUUGAUUUGGAAAAACAACCUCAAAUUCAUGUGGGUCCUCUCAGAUUUAAAGUUGAGGAAUAUUAUCACAAACAGGAACUAACUCCAGCUCCAGUCUUUCCACUUGUAGUUGGAUUAUCUGUCAUUGCCCUCUUUAUCAGUAUGCCAAGGUUGAAGGAUUUAUACCAGAUGGCUGUAGGAAUGACUCCAACAGGAUCUAGUACGGUAUCCAGUAAGAAGGAAGCCCGAAAGCCACUUUUGAGAAAGAGAGUGUAUUAGUGGAAAGUAAUGGCAUGAUAAUUUUGAGUUACAGGUGACUUAUUUGAAAGAGACUUAGUUGAUCAUUAAUUAUUUCAACGUUUUGAUCAAGGUACGCGUGGCUUGGUCCUGGCCAAAUCUUUACAUGAAUUUGGCCUCAGUUACAUGAUACAGAACCUGGUCUAUCCGCAAUUGGUGGAUUAGGCUUGCAAUUUGGACCACUUCCAGAUGGGUGUAGCUGGGUCCUUUCCGGGGAACUCAACGUGCAGAUUUGAUCUGUUCGGAGUUUUUUCUCCUUUCCUUUUCUUUUUUUUUUAAAUUUUAAAAUUUCUAAUUUCUUAGUUUGGAACCUUUGAUUGACUCGUCAGACACAACUUACACGGUUCCAUUUAACAGGCGUCAUUGCAAUCUGCUUGCUUAUCUUUGCCAUUGUAAAUUAUUCAUGGAUAGCGGUAUUUUCCAUUAGUAUAAAUCCUUUAAUUUGACUUGUUUAAAAUAAGCUGGUAUUAACUUUAAUUCUCACUUGAGUAGA
Non-coding RNA from Elaeis guineensis (African oil palm), 4328 nucleotides. NCBI's taxonomy places the organism in Eukaryota, Viridiplantae, Streptophyta, Magnoliopsida, Arecales, Arecaceae. The record is from RefSeq and is a predicted model, not a curated record.